Ornithorhynchus anatinus (platypus) is the source of this 865-nucleotide long non-coding RNA. RefSeq lists it as uncharacterized. Lineage: Eukaryota; Metazoa; Chordata; Mammalia; Monotremata; Ornithorhynchidae. The transcript is spliced from 3 exons. The record is from RefSeq and is a predicted model, not a curated record.
AGUGGCAGAGCCUGGAUUAGAAGCCUGGCCCUUCCGACUCCCAGGCCGAUUGCUCUGUCCAUUAGGCCGUGGCACAGAGCACACGCUUAAAUGAGUAUCAUAGAAAAGAAAAAGGUGCUUCCUGGGGUGAUUUAGGGGCAGGAAGCUCCCUCCACGUGGGGUCGAUGGGGCACAGUCAGGGUGACUUAACCCAAACCCCCGACCUGGAAUCCCAGCCCUGCACCCAAGGGGGAUGGUCUGCCUAGCCAGUCUCCCCCAGGUCCGUUCCCACGCCAGGAGAGGCCCGGCGGGCCGCUUCCCCCUCUCUACUCCUUAAAGGAGCCAGUUCCAGCCGACACACCCCGACGACGAUGUCCAGAAUUUCACAGUGACUGUACAAUACAUCCGAUCAAUCAACGGUAUUUAUUGAGCACCUACUGAAGGCAAAGCGUUGGAAUGAGCACUUGGGAGAGUACAAGAGAAGAAGAAAAAGACAGUCCCUGCCCGCAAGGAGCUGACCAUCAGAAAGAUUUCAGGAGCGUUUGAAAACGAAAGCUGCUAAGUGAAGUUAUUCUUCUCCAUUAGGUCUCCUCCAGCAAGCCUCUUCUCUGGACAGCGCCUCCUUUUUUCUCCCUGGGCAAAGCAGUGCUGAGGGAUAGGGGGAAUUUUCCUGAAAUUCCCUCUUCUGCGCCUUUACAGUCGCCAGUGCCACUGAGCCCUGCUGUUGAUGCGGAGGAAAGAGCACACGCUUCUUGGACUCAGGAGACGUGGGUUUUGACCUCCACCCCUGGACUCUAAGCUUGUCGUGAGCAAGGAGCAUGUCUACUAACUCUGUUGGAAUGUGCUCUCAGGCAGUCAGUUGUAUUUACUGAGCGCUUACCAUGUG